This 771-nucleotide ribosomal RNA is filed under the name fungal sp. genotype 729 JMUR-2016. Its description in RNAcentral is "eukaryotic LSU rRNA". The stretch from base 185 to 771 matches the Rfam family "Eukaryotic large subunit ribosomal RNA", at positions 1 to 601 of the family's 3401-position model. The record is from RNAcentral. Lineage: Eukaryota; Fungi.
CGAAGGGCAUGCCUGUUCGAGCGUCAUUUCACCAAUCAAGCCUGGCUUGGUGUUGGGCCCCGGGGGUGACCCGGGCCCCAAUGUCCGCCGGCCGGACGACCCGGACCUCAGCGUUAUGGCACUGUAAAGUCCCGCUGGAGGGGAAGGGUUGGCCGCGCCGUCAACGAAAACACUUCUGAAAGGUUGACCUCGGAUCAGGUAGGGAUACCCGCUGAACUUAAGCAUAUCAAUAAGCGGAGGAAAAGAAACCAACAGGGAUUGCCCUAGUAACGGCGAGUGAAGCGGCAACAGCUCAAAUUUGAAAUCUGGCGCAAGCCCGAAUUGUAAUUUGUAGAGGAUGCUUCGAGGCAGCGGCCGGUCUAAGUUCCUUGGAACAGGACGUCAUAGAGGGUGAGAAUCCCGUACGUGACUGGUUGGCACCUCACACGUAGCUCCUUCGACGAGUCGAGUUGUUUGGGAAUGCAGCUCUAAAUGGGAGGUAAAUUCCUUCUAAAGCUAAAUACCGGCCAGAGACCGAUAGCGCACAAGUAGAGUGAUCGAAAGAUGAAAAGCACUUUGGAAAGAGAGUUAAAAAGCACGUGAAAUUGUUGAAAGGGAAGCGCUUGCAACCAGACUUGACGGCGGCGUUCAACCGGUCUUCUGACCGGCCCACUCGUCGCCGGCAGGCCAGCAUCGUCUUGGGCCGCCGGAGAAAGGCGUGAGGAAUGUGGCUCCUCCGGGAGUGUUAUAGCCUCGCGCACAAUACGGCGCGCCUGGGGCGAGGUCCGCGCU